AGUUCUAAGUGAUCUAUAAUAAACAGGUUCUAGAUGAUCUAUAAUAAACAGGUUCUAGGUGAUCUAUAAUAAACAGGUUCUAGGCGAUCCGUAAUAAACAGGGUCUAGGCGAUCCGUUCUAGAUGAUC
This is a long non-coding RNA of Sphaeramia orbicularis (orbiculate cardinalfish), 128 nucleotides long. RefSeq lists it as uncharacterized. The record is from RefSeq and is a predicted model, not a curated record. The transcript has 3 exons. NCBI's taxonomy places the organism in Eukaryota, Metazoa, Chordata, Actinopteri, Kurtiformes, Apogonidae.